Molecule: unclassified non-coding RNA, 247 nt
Filed under: Hevea brasiliensis (rubber tree)
Lineage: Eukaryota; Viridiplantae; Streptophyta; Magnoliopsida; Malpighiales; Euphorbiaceae
Source: RNAcentral
AUAGUAAAUAAUCACUAUCAUUUAUAUUUAUAAGAGAGAUAAGGAUUAGAUAUAAAUGUAAUCAAAGAAGAUUGUAUGAGUACAAAUAAGCUUACUAAAAAAAAAUGGAUAAAAUAAAAGCUACCUUAAAAGAUAAAAGACAACUAGAGAUUGUAUUUAACAACACCACCACCCACCCCUCCCCAGCUCCCCGGUGCCCUAACCUAAAAGGCUAAAACUACCAUAUAUACAUAUCAAGAGGCUUUUU